This 220-nucleotide ribosomal RNA is filed under the name uncultured bacterium. RNAcentral's name for it is "partial 16S ribosomal RNA". It matches the Rfam family "Bacterial small subunit ribosomal RNA", at positions 326 to 539 of the family's 1533-position model. The record is from RNAcentral.
ACGCUCGACACCUACGAGGCAGCAGUAGGGAAUCUUCCACAAUGGGCGCAAGCCUGAUGGAGCAACACCGCGUGAGUGAAGAAGGGUUUCGGCUCGUAAAGCUCUGUUGUUGGAGAAGAACGUGCGUAAGAGUAACUGUUCACGCAGUGACGGUAUCCAACCAGAAAGUCACGGCUAACUACGUGCCAGAGCCGCGGUAAUCUGAGCGGGCUGGCAAGGC